Molecule: ribosomal RNA, 253 nt
Filed under: uncultured bacterium
Lineage: Bacteria
Description: partial 16S ribosomal RNA
Rfam family: Bacterial small subunit ribosomal RNA
Source: RNAcentral
UACAGAGGUCUCAAGCGUUGUUCGGAUUCAUUGGGCGUAAAGGGUGCGUAGGUGGCGCGCUAAGUCAGGUGUGAAAUUUCGGAGCUUAACUCCGAAACUGCACUGGAUACUGCUCUGCUAGAGGGCUGGAGAGGAGAUCGGAAUUCACGGUGUAGCAGUGAAAUGCGUAGAUAUCGUGAGGAAGACCAGUGGCGAAGGCGGAUCUCUGGACAGCUCCUGACGCUGAGGCGCGAAGGCUAGGGGAGCAAACGGG